UACGGAGGGUGCAAGCGUUAAUCGGAAUCACUGGGCGUAAAGCGCUCGUAGGCGGUUUGGUCAGUCAGAUGUGAAAGCCCACGGCUUAACCGUGGAACUGCAUUUGAUACUGCCAGACUUGAGUGUCGGAGAGGGUGGCGGAAUUCCGGGUGUAGGAGUGAAAUCCGUAGAUAUCCGGAGGAACACCAGUGGCGAAGGCGGCCACCUGGACGACAACUGACGCUGAGGAGCGAAAGCGUGGGGAGCAAACAGG
Molecule: ribosomal RNA, 253 nt
Filed under: uncultured bacterium
Lineage: Bacteria
Description: partial 16S ribosomal RNA
Rfam family: Bacterial small subunit ribosomal RNA
Source: RNAcentral